AAAAAAUCUUGCUUUAUUUAAGUAUGAGACCUUGUUCCGUUUGGUAAUAAGUAUAAACAGGGGCUUUGCUACGUGUGGACCAGUGUUUUGUGUCUUUUUUGCUUAAAAUAUCAUCAGGACUUACAACAACAUCUUAGGUAUUUGCGACGUAGUGAAGCAGCUGAAUUUAAAUUUACGAAAAUGAUGAGAAAUGAAAGUGAUAUAUUUUGCCUGAAAGAACCGAAACUUGGUGAAAGCGAUGGUAGCCAAAUAUACUCCAUGAGCGGUUCACCUUUUUCAAGAAUAAACAGACGCCACCAGCAAAGCAACGACGUCUUCCAAUUUGAUUUACCCUCAAAAACUGAAGAGUCUAUCAAACUUCCUGAUACUGCAAAUCCUGAAAUUGAAGAAUCUGAAACAUUUGAACAAGCCGACAUGGAAAGCCCACAGGAAGAAAAACCAGAGUUGAUUAUUCAGGAACUUUCUGUAGAGCCGAAUAUUUAUCCUGAAACUGAACAGUCUGAAACACAUGACUCAACCGACAAGGAAAGCCCACCUGAGAAAGAAACGGAACCUAUUUUCGAGGGACCUUCUGGGCAGCCAAAUGUUUCAUCUUCCAACAUGAUACGCAACCCCGUGACGGGUGUAGGUUUGGAAGCCGAUGAAAUACAUGAAAAAAGACAUUAUGGUUUGGAAUUGCAAGCCGAUAAGGAAGGUGAUGGAUCCAGAAGACAUUAUGGUCAGCAGUUGAUACAUGAGAAGGGGCAUUAUGGUUUGGAACACAGUUUGGAAUUGGAAGCCGAUGAGGCAAAUGCAGCAGGUCAAGUCACCCGUUGGGAAGACGAUAAAGUACAUGAGAAAAGACAUUAUGGUUUGGAAUUAGAAGCCGAUAAGGAAGGUGGAUCCAGAAGACAGUACGGUCAGCAAUUGAUACAUGAGAAGGGGCAUUAUGGUUUGGAAUUAGAAGCCGAAGCCGAUGAGAAAGAUGGGGCAGGUCAAGUUACCCGUUUGGAAAACGAUAAAGUACAUGAGAAAAGACAUUAUGACCAUCAAUAAUUGAUUCAAGAUUCAAUAUAAUAUACCUACUUCAAAACAUUAUAAUUAUAUCCUUUUUCAUUGCAAAAAUGUUCAAAAAUGCAUAGGCAUAAUAAUUUAAUUAUCUUAGCUUUUAGUAUAAGGAUGAAAUGUAUUCUUAACAUCACUGAUAAAACUAAAGCUUUAUUUAUCUUUUGUUAAAAUAAUAAAUUGCAUGAAUUAAAUCAUGAAAUAGUCAAAAUUAGACUUUCAAUGUAUGUAUAUAUUUAUUUAUGCAUUGGGACACCCCAAUAUCUCAACAAAACUAUUGACUUUUAUAGAAGGCAACUAACAAAUAACGUCAUUAAUUAGACCAUAUUACUCAAUAUUGGAAAAUAAUUAAAAAAUAUCGGCGAUUCAAAUCUAGUAUACUUAAGAUUACGUUGUUAACAAAAAUCAAUAAAUUGUAAUUCUGGGCAAAUUUCUGCGCAAUUUUAUAAUUUUAUCCACAAAGCAAAUUAAACCUUUUAGGGACUUUUGUUUUACAAGGAUUAGCCAGUGACAAAGACAUCAACAAUUUCAAAAAAAAAUGUAUUUUGUGUAAAUCUGUACAAAAUAAGCACAAUUUUUAAAGAAUAAUAAUUUGUUUUAAUAUGGUUGAUCUAAAUUUUCAAAUAAAUUUUUUCUAUAUAAAAAUUUGACAUUCAUUUGACAGUAGGUAUUUGCGACGCAGUUACAAUUAAAGUUUAAAAAAAUGACGACGAAUCCAAGCGAUAUUCUUUGCCUGAAAGAGCCGAAAUUUGGUGAAAGUGACGGUAGCCAAAUAUACUCCAUCCACGGUUCGCCUUCGAGAAUCAACAGACCACCAAGAACUCAAGAACCUCAAGAGUGCUUCAACAUAAAUGAAAUUGCAAAUCCUACCGGUAAGGAUAAGAAAGGUGGAUCCAUGAGACAUGAUGGUCAAGUCACUCGUUUGGAAAACGAUAAAAAACAUGAGAAAAGGCAUUAUGGUCAACAAAAUUGAUUCAAUAAAAUACCUAUGCUUACUUAAAAAUAUGUAUCCUUUUUUUGUUGCAAAAAUGUUAAAAAAUGAAUAGGCAUAAUAAUGUAUUUUUUUAGUUUAUAGUUAUUACGAUGAAACGGUGAUGUGAUAUGUAUUAACAUCACUGUGGAAAAAUAAUAAAUAGGCAUUUUUUUAUUAGCUUUUAGUUAUAACGACAGUACGGUGAUGUAUGUAUUCUCUUAACACUACUAAUGAAAAUUAAAAUUUUAUUAUCUUUUGUUAAAAUAAUAAACUGCAUGAAUUAAAUUAUGAAAUAGCCAAAAUAUUAGACUUUCAAUGUAUAUAUUUAUUUAUGAAUUUGAACACCUCAAUACCUAAAAACAAAACUACCUAUUGAUCUUUAUAAGUAUAAGGCAUAUAUGAAUUUCACAAUAUUAUAAUUCUGAGCAUACACAAAACUGAAGAAAUUUUAAAGCGCAAUUUCAUGUUUUUAUUGACGACGUAAUUUACAAAAUCCAAAGCAAAGUAAACCUUUUAGGGACUUUUGUUUUACAAGGAUUAGCCAGUGAUAAGGACCUAACGAUUUAAAAAAAAAAUGUAUUUUGUGUAAAAUGUGUGCAAAAUAGAAGCACAAUUUUUAAAGAAUAAUAAUUAUUUUGAAUGAUUGAUCUAAAUUUACAAAUAAAUUUUUUUUAAUAUAAAAAUUGACAUUCAUUUGACAGUAGGUAUUUGCGACGCAGUUACGAUUAAAGUUUAAAAAAUGACUACGAAUCCAAGCGAUAUUCUUUGCUUGAAAGAGCCUAAAUUUGGUGAAAGCGACGGUAGCCAAAUAUACUCCAUCCACGGUUUGCCUUCGAGAAUCAACAGACCACCAAGAUCUCAAGAACCUCAAGAGUGUAUCAACAUUUCUGAAAUUGCAAAUCCUACCGAUAAGGAAGGUAAAUCCAGGAGACAUGAUGGUCAAGUCACUCGUUUGGAAAACGAUAAAAAACAUGAGAAAAGGCAUUAUGGUCAACAAUAUUGAUUCAAUAAAAUACCUACCUAUGCUUACUUAAAAAUAUGUAUCCUUCUUUUGUUGCAAAAAUGUUGAAAAAUUAAUACGCAUAAUAUUGUAAUUUUUUAGCUUAUAGUGAUUACGAAGAAACGGUGAUGUGAUAUGUAUUAACAUCACUGUAGAAAAGUAAAUAGGCAUAAUAAUAUUGUAAGUAUUCUUAACAUUAUUGAUAAAAAUUAAAGCUUUAGUAUCUUUUGUUAAAAUAAUAAAUAAAUGAAUUAACCAAAA
RNA transcript from Tribolium madens (black flour beetle), 3278 nucleotides. RefSeq lists it as uncharacterized. The record is from RefSeq and is a predicted model, not a curated record. Lineage: Eukaryota; Metazoa; Arthropoda; Insecta; Coleoptera; Tenebrionidae. The transcript is spliced from 7 exons.